RNAcentral lists this ribosomal RNA (403 nucleotides) under uncultured Desulfobulbus sp. RNAcentral describes it as "bacterial SSU rRNA". It matches the Rfam family "Bacterial small subunit ribosomal RNA", at positions 983 to 1382 of the family's 1533-position model. The record is from RNAcentral. Lineage: Bacteria; Pseudomonadati; Thermodesulfobacteriota; Desulfobulbia; Desulfobulbales; Desulfobulbaceae.
GACAUCCCGGAGACCCUUAGGAACUAGGGGUGCUUCCAUCUGGAAGAAUCUGGAGACAGGUGCUGCAUGGUUGUCGUCAGCUCGUGUCGUGAGAUGUUGGGUUAAGUCCCGCAACGAGCGCAACCCUUGCCUUUAGUUGCCAGCAGUUCGGCUGGGCACUCUAAAGGGACUGCCGGUGUUAAACCGGAGGAAGGUGGGGAUGACGUCAAGUCCUCAUGGCCUUUAUGACCAGGGCUACACACGUACUACAAUGGCCGAUACAAAGGGCAGCGACACUGCGAGGUGAAGCCAAUCCCGUAAAAUCGGUCUCAGUCCGGAUUGGAGUCUGCAACUCGACUCCAUGAAGUUGGAAUCGCUAGUAAUCGUGGAUCAGCAUGCCACGGUGAAUACGUUCCCGGGCCUU